GGUGAUUCAGUGGUAGAAUGCUCGCCUGCCACGCGGGCGGCCCAGGUUCGAUUCCCGGCAGAUGCA
This 66-nucleotide transfer RNA is filed under the name Cordylochernes scorpioides. Its description in RNAcentral is "tRNA-Gly". It matches the Rfam family "tRNA". From Rfam's summary of the family: Transfer RNA (tRNA) molecules are approximately 80 nucleotides in length. Lineage: Eukaryota; Metazoa; Arthropoda; Arachnida; Pseudoscorpiones; Chernetidae. The record is from RNAcentral.